GGGGGCAUAGCUCAGUUGGGAGAGCAGCAGACUGAAGUGUCUGAAUGAUCAAGUCGUUCUGAAGGUCCCGCGUUCAAUCCGCGGUGCCCCCA
This is a non-coding RNA of Lyophyllum atratum, 92 nucleotides long. The record is from the annotation of a GenBank genome assembly. Lineage: Eukaryota; Fungi; Basidiomycota; Agaricomycetes; Agaricales; Lyophyllaceae.